CUGCUGCUCCUCGCUGAUCUUCUGCUUCAGUUUCUUGAACAUGGUGCAGCCGGGGUCCCGGAGGGUGACGGAGCCGAGCGAGGAAAUCUUCACCACUCAAAAGACUGAAAUUCAUGAAUCCCCUUAUACUUCCAGCUGCAGAUGCUCGACAAGCUUCCUCACUCGGGCAUUCACAAGUUUUAUAGAAGAUUGCCAAUUUUAUACUUACAUGUAUGUGUGCGUGCAUUUGUGUGUCUACAUCUACAUACAUGAGGAUCCUAUCAAAACACAGUAUGAUAAAUAAAACAUUACUAAGAAGGGCUGGAAAUAUGGCUCAGCCAUUAAA
Molecule: long non-coding RNA, 325 nt
Organism: Jaculus jaculus (lesser Egyptian jerboa)
Lineage: Eukaryota; Metazoa; Chordata; Mammalia; Rodentia; Dipodidae
Exons: 2
Source: RefSeq, a predicted model, not a curated record